UAUGCUUAGGAGCUGUGUGAUUGAUUUUGAAGGAAGUUGGGAAAAGUAUCUUCCUCUAAUAGAGUUUGCAUACAAUAACAGCUACCAAACAAGUAUUAAGAUGGCACCCUAUGAAGCCCUAUAUGGGAGGAGAUGUAGGACCCCUUAAUGUUGGACAGAGCUUAGUGAAGGCAAGAUAGUGGGUUCUGACUUGGUAAAACAAACAGAAGAAAAAGUCAAGAUUAUAAAGGAAAGAUUGAAGGGAGCUGCAGAUAGACAAAAAUCAUAUGCAGACUUGAAGAGAAAGGACAUAGAGUAUGCAAUCGGGGAUAAGGUAUUCCUUAAGGUUUCUCAAUGGAA
Molecule: unclassified non-coding RNA, 339 nt
Filed under: Hevea brasiliensis (rubber tree)
Lineage: Eukaryota; Viridiplantae; Streptophyta; Magnoliopsida; Malpighiales; Euphorbiaceae
Source: RNAcentral